UCUUUGUCUCUUGCUGGCGCUGGCACAGGAACUUGGGAUCCGUCUCCUCUUUCGCCUCCUCCGCUUUGGGAGCCCCGGGCUACUCUUUCACAGCCCCUGUUGCCCUGUGAUCUGUAGGUCCUUGGGGACGCACAGUUAAGAUGACAGGACAUCCUGGAAGCUGGGAAAUGGCUGAAUGCUAUCCAGUGAAUAUACGUGCCCUGUUUGUUGAAUCUACUCAUCCUUAAAGAUAUGUAUUCAUUUCCUACCACCGUAGUGGAAGAGAGAUUUUCCCUAUCUUUACAACUGAUAGCAUUUCCAACAGUAAGCUGUGAGAUUCUGCUUGAAAUCACCUCUCAAACAAAUAAAAAACAGACCUGGGAGACAUGCUACACUCAUUCUGCUGAGGAAAUAGGCAUCAUAGCUGGGAAACGGAUUCACAAGACCCAGGCUGUUCCCUACAUAUGUUUCCUCCUCCGACAUCAGUUCAUCAGUCAAUCAAGCCAUGUGAGAGUGGAGGCCUUGUAUUCCCUAUUAUUCUUGGGCACUCUACUCCAAGUAGGAAAAGGCCAGGAGGUCCUGUUAAAGGAUGCACUCAGAGCCCGGGCUCCCUAACAUAUGAGAGUGCUAACCAGCAGGUGUAGACUUUUCAGGAGUGAAGAAUGAGGCAGGCAUUCCAAACCUGGACCUUCAUCACCUUUUGUUUCAUCUCAAGACAAUUCUGAGGGACUGUUUUGGAGCGUGUCUGGAAGGUGAACCUUGAAGAAGAGUGUGGGCUUUGAUGUGACUCAGUUGAGAUCUUUCAUGGGGAGGCAGGAAUUCAAUGCCCAGAAUCUGGGCUGGUGUCUUUGAGGUCAGUAGGUUGCGUCUUUGUAUCCAAGUCCAUUGUUACUAGGUUGGAGGCUGGAGAUUCUAAAUGGCUUCCAGACCAUCUCUCUGAUUCUCUUUGGGAGAUGGGGUCUGAAAGACAAUGUCAGUAGUUUUGGGAAAUUCUAGAAAGUGUGCUUGGAAACGUGGGAAGAGCUCUUGCCUAGUGCCUAAAUGCUCCAUUUGCAGCUCUAGCCAAGUAGAUACUUGGUAGGUAUAGAGCCGGGUUUGCGUUUAUAUCAGCAAAACCUAUGUCAGAGUUGAAGAAGUAGUCAGGAAAAAGCGUCUUGGUCGCAGGCCGGGGAACAUCUUAAAAGCAAACUUCUAGCCUGCUGACUCUUGGCAAUGAGUGUUGGAUCCUGGCUAAAGUGCCUUGAAUGCAGCAUGAGGCCAAUCCAUGAAUCCAACUUCUCAUGGAGAAAUGUUAAUAUUUUUUCAGUUUGAAUCAAUCAGGGUGAAACUACCAUGCUAUUGGUUUGCUUACUUUUUAUUAUUUCAUGUAAAAUCUAAGACAAAAUACAUUAAAUGCUUAUUGACAUAUGUAUUUAUUCUUCACCAGGCUGAUAAUAUCUGCCUAAUUUUAAACUUUCUUCCAUUUUGUAGGUUUCAACUUAUUCUAUUGUAAGAUACUGUUAAAUCUAAUAGAGGCAUUGUCACUUUUACGUAUAAUUUUAUUUUAUUUCAUAUAUUUCCUAUUGGCUUUUUACAUUUAAAUUAUGGAGCACUUCAUCAUAUAAAAAACUUCAAUUAUAUUUAAA
This is a long non-coding RNA of Homo sapiens (human), 1604 nucleotides long. Ensembl annotates it as long intergenic non-protein coding RNA 3104. NCBI's taxonomy places the organism in Eukaryota, Metazoa, Chordata, Mammalia, Primates, Hominidae. The record is from Ensembl.